RNAcentral lists this long non-coding RNA (259 nucleotides) under Elaeis guineensis (African oil palm). RNAcentral's name for it is "long non-coding RNA (EGUI_LNC050990)". Lineage: Eukaryota; Viridiplantae; Streptophyta; Magnoliopsida; Arecales; Arecaceae. The record is from RNAcentral.
GAUGAGUUAAUGGCAUAUCCUUCCCAUUGAUCUCACUUAUCUGAUCAAUAUGGUAAAUCAUAUUUUGAUCAGAUCGCUUUAUGAUUGGAGUUUGAUCCAUGCUACUAGAAAAUCAAUUGUGAUUGAUUUAGAUGCUCCUAGUUCGACUUAUCUUUGUCCUCAUCAUGAUUUGAUGAAGUCAGUAGGAGGAUUGAUGACUUAUCAGUUGGACUGGCUUGUUUCUAAUCCAGCCUGAUCUGACUUGAUGAAGUUAGUGGGA